This 277-nucleotide ribosomal RNA is filed under the name uncultured bacterium. RNAcentral's name for it is "partial 16S ribosomal RNA". It matches the Rfam family "Bacterial small subunit ribosomal RNA", at positions 28 to 298 of the family's 1533-position model. The record is from RNAcentral.
GACGAACGCUGGCGGCGUGCAUCACACAUGCAAGUGGAGCGACGAACCGGGCUUCGGCCCGGGGCAGAGCCGCGAACGGGUGAGUAACACGUGGGUAACCUGCCCUGAUGAUUGGGACAACCCGAGGAAACUCGGGCUAAUACCGAAUGUGCCCUCCGGCCAUAAGGCCGCUGGGGAAAGGAAGCCUCGGCCUCCGCAUCAGGAUGGGCCCGCGGCCUAUCAGCUUGUUGGUGGGGUGAUGGCCUACCAAGGCGACGACGGGUAGCCGGCCUGAGAG